Molecule: unclassified non-coding RNA, 294 nt
Filed under: uncultured Sordariomycetes
Lineage: Eukaryota; Fungi; Ascomycota; Sordariomycetes
Description: sequence contains 5.8S rRNA gene, ITS2, 28S rRNA gene
Source: RNAcentral
AACGCACAUUGCGCCCGCUGGUAUUCCAGCGGGCAUGCCCGUUCGAGCGUCAUUUCAAUCCCUUCCCGGAAGGACUCUUCUAAAUUUUAGUGGGGUCCGCGGGGCGUUGGUACUGGGCGUCACCUUUUUUUGGAGGCGGCCGGAGCCGAAAUGAAGCGGCGGACGCGCGGCGGCCCCUAGCGCAGUAGAAUAACCUUCUCGCUCAGGAGACCCGCAGCGGCGGACCACAGCCCUAAACACAAAACUAUAUGAAAACUUGACCUCGAAUCGGGUAGGACUACCCGCUGAACUUAA